GACGAACGCUGGCGGCGUGCUUAACACAUGCAAGUCGAACGGUGACCCAGGGCUUGCCCUGGUGAUCAGUGGCGAACGGGUGAGUAACACGUGGGCAACCUGCCCCUGACUUCGGGAUAACUCCUCGAAAGAGGAGCUAAUACCGGAUACGACCACUUCGGACAUCCGAUGGUGGUGGAAAGUUUUUCGGUCAGGGAUGGGCCCGCGGCCUAUCAGCUAGUUGGUGGGGUAAUGGCCUACCAAGGCGACGACGGGUAGCCGGCCUGAGAGGGCGACCGGCCACACUGGGACUGAGACACGGCCCAGACUCCUACGGGAGGCAGCAGUGGGGAAUAUUGCGCAAUGGGCGAAAGCCUGACGCAGCGACGCCGCGUGAGGGAUGAAGGCCUUCGGUUGGUAACCUACUUUCAGCAGGACGAAGCGAAAGUGACGGUACCUGCAGAAGAAG
RNAcentral lists this ribosomal RNA (448 nucleotides) under uncultured bacterium. Its description in RNAcentral is "bacterial SSU rRNA". It matches the Rfam family "Bacterial small subunit ribosomal RNA", at positions 28 to 490 of the family's 1533-position model. The record is from RNAcentral.